This is a long non-coding RNA of Cervus elaphus (red deer), 543 nucleotides long. RefSeq lists it as uncharacterized. NCBI's taxonomy places the organism in Eukaryota, Metazoa, Chordata, Mammalia, Artiodactyla, Cervidae. The record is from RefSeq and is a predicted model, not a curated record. The transcript has 4 exons.
UCAGGUAGCUUUUCUGCAUCUAAAAGAGGUCUUGAAGAUACCUUCAGAGAAAUGCCAGCAAAAGUUGUAGUCAUCUGGGGAAGAAUGAGUCUGGAAAACAAAUACGCAGUGGACUAGCACCAAGAGGUUAAUGGCUGUGACUGGCCUGUGAGAAGAGUGAGGAGAAAUGACUUCAGUGGCCCCACAGGAGUUCAGAGCAGAGAAAAGGGCUUCAUCAGGUCUGGCACUGUUCUUGGGCACCAAGUCCCUCGUCUACCACCAGAGAAAGUUCAAAACGCAUGAAUGAUCCUGAGAUAAAGCCAAUGAGCACUUCUUAACCAGGGAGGGAGUCACAGUCCACCUCACUUCCCUAGGAUGCCCUCCAACGCUGUGCUGAUCUCUGGACCUGUUGUGAGGGCAGCUCAGAGUCUAAUCUCCUACUCCUCUAUGUUCUUGCCUCCGAUGUCCACAGCUAUCAGAACUAGUGCAUUUUCUUUUGUGGGAGCUCUCAAUGACCUUUUAUAUAUUCCAUAGACACAGAGUCUGCCUAGUUGAUCGUGUGGA